GCCUCAAGUGAUCCUCCAGCCUCAGCCUCCCAGAGUGUUAGGAUUACAGGUGUGAGCCACCGCGCCCGGCCCCCAGGAGUGUAUGAAACUCUCAAGAAAGGAAUCUGGGAAAAUUAAGUGCUGUCCAUGGGAUUUGACUGGGAGAAGACAACUGGAAGCUUAUGCCUGGUGUCUCCUGGACUCUGCCCUAUGCACCAUCUUUUUCUUUUGCAGAUUUGAAACUAUCCUUUCACUGUAAUAAACUGUAACUGCGAGAACAA
This is a long non-coding RNA of Lemur catta (Ring-tailed lemur), 260 nucleotides long. RefSeq lists it as uncharacterized. The transcript is spliced from 2 exons. NCBI's taxonomy places the organism in Eukaryota, Metazoa, Chordata, Mammalia, Primates, Lemuridae. The record is from RefSeq and is a predicted model, not a curated record.